This 257-nucleotide ribosomal RNA is filed under the name uncultured bacterium. RNAcentral's name for it is "partial 16S ribosomal RNA". It matches the Rfam family "Bacterial small subunit ribosomal RNA", at positions 1246 to 1500 of the family's 1533-position model. The record is from RNAcentral.
AAGGCGAGCGCGCGAGCGUGAGCGAAUCCCAGAAAUAACGUCUCAGUUCGGAUUGUAGUCUGCAACUCGACUACAUGAAGCUGGAAUCGCUAGUAAUCGCGGAUCAGAAUGCCGCGGUGAAUACGUUCCCGGGUCUUGUACACACCGCCCGUCACACCAUGGGAGUCAGCAACGCCCGAAGCCGGUGACCCAACCUUUCUAGGAGGGAGCCGUCGAAGGCGGGGCCGAUGACUGGGGUGAAGUCGUAACAAGGUAGC